CAGGUGUAAGAAACACCGUUCAUUUAGUACCGUAAAAGAAGAGAGACUGUUUGCUUUGAUUAUCUUAUUUGUUUUGAAUGCACCGCUCAACUCGCAUGGUCCCACGUGGGGUACCUAGUUCUCAGCAGCCAAUCAGAAGCUACGCAGGCCACGCUCAGCCUGUCGGCUCGGAGAGGAAGUGCAGUCGCGUUGCUCUUCCGGUCUUUUCGGAUCUCGGCCCGGGAAGCGAGGGCAGCUGUGUGUUAAGGAGAAGAGGAAAACUAGAGAAAGAACCCAGAGUAAAACCUGUGAAAAAGGAAAAAGAGUCGGAGCACUUACCCAGUAGAGGUCCGGAGCCAAGUGGCUGAACGAAGGAGAGUUACGUCGGCUAACUGCUUGCCUGUCCGCCGGAGAGCUGCUACGAGGUUCGGCAUCGGCAUGCUCCACCUUGAUACACAGAGCAACGGUCAGGUUUUUUUAGAGGACUGAGAGUCUGAGGUUCAGGACAACUUCCUGCUGUGAAAGAUGGCGAGCCAACUACCCUGAUUGAAGAUUAGCACCGAGGAGAUAUUCACGUAUACACUCAUUCACACAAAUAAUACACUCACAUUACACUACAAGGAACCUUGGAAUCAGGUGAACUUUCAACAACUCCUUUUAUUUUAAGGGCCCCAACAGACAUUUUUGUUUUAAGUGUGCACACUACUUUUUUAUUUUUCUUACUGUUUGGUAUAAUAUUUUGCAUUUUGUACGAACCAGACAAAUUACUUUGUUCACUGUAAAAUAUAAGAGUGGCUACUCAAUUGUUA
Gadus morhua (Atlantic cod) is the source of this 788-nucleotide long non-coding RNA. RefSeq lists it as uncharacterized. The record is from RefSeq and is a predicted model, not a curated record. Lineage: Eukaryota; Metazoa; Chordata; Actinopteri; Gadiformes; Gadidae. The transcript is spliced from 3 exons.